GAAUGCUGGCAUAAGUAGCGAGAAAUAAGUGAGAAUCUUAUUGGCCGAAAACCUAAGGUUUCCUGGGGAAGGUUCGUCCGCCCAGGGUUAGUCGGGACCUAAGCCGAGGCCGAAAGGCGUAGGUGAUGGACAAUCGGUUGAUAUUCCGAUACCGCCUAUUUACGUUUGAGAAAUGGGGUGACGCAGUAGGAUAAGAUGUGCGCACUAUUGGAUGUGCGUCUAAGCAUUUAGGCAUGCUUGAUAGGUAAAUCCGUCGAGCUAAGCUGAGGU
This 270-nucleotide ribosomal RNA is filed under the name Clostridium sporogenes. RNAcentral's name for it is "partial 23S ribosomal RNA". It matches the Rfam family "Bacterial large subunit ribosomal RNA", at positions 1292 to 1562 of the family's 2925-position model. The record is from RNAcentral. Lineage: Bacteria; Bacillati; Bacillota; Clostridia; Eubacteriales; Clostridiaceae.